UUUCCUUUCUCUUACUCUACCCAAAAAUAUUCUUAACAUCCUUCUAAAAGUUCUAAACCUCGGAGUUCUAGGCGAAGUUCUGUCCAUAACGCUAGCCUACGAAAACCUUUUAGGAAGCUAACAAUUUCGAUUGUUUUAUCAAGACGCAAGGUAAGAGACCCCAAAUAUAAAUUGUUGCUGAGUAUACGUGGGGCCAACAUGACUGUACAUAUGGGGCUGACCUGAAGGGAGUGGAGUUCUGCUAUGCUAUUUUAUAAAUAAACAAGAAACUUGGUUUUAUUAUAUUUCAUUAAAAGUAUUUUGUGAACUUUAUCAUUUACUUAAAGCUUUAAAAAGUAUUUCAUGAACUUUGUAAUUUACAUAAAGCUUUUCAAUUUAUCAGUUGGAUACAUUUUCAUUUCUACGUUAAGGUGUAGUAACGCCACGAAAAUGAUUUAUAAAAGUAUUAAGAUUUGUAUGUAAGAUAAAGUUUUUAUCUAGUUGUGAGUAUUGUGUGGUUAAGGUUAUAAACAUUAUUUAUGUAUUGUUUAAUAAAGUUUUUGUAAAUUCAGAAUUUCAGUAUUGUCAUAUUUAGGUUAAAAUUUGUUUUUACUCUAUAUAUAUGUAUGUUAAGAAAUGAGGUCGUUACAUUCUUGCCAAGACUGAUGACUGAGACGGAUUUGCCGAAAAAAAUGGCAAUUGCUGGAAUGGAC
Humulus lupulus (European hop) is the source of this 692-nucleotide long non-coding RNA. RefSeq lists it as uncharacterized. The record is from RefSeq and is a predicted model, not a curated record. The transcript has 3 exons. NCBI's taxonomy places the organism in Eukaryota, Viridiplantae, Streptophyta, Magnoliopsida, Rosales, Cannabaceae.